This 775-nucleotide ribosomal RNA is filed under the name uncultured Neocallimastigales. RNAcentral describes it as "partial large subunit ribosomal RNA". It matches the Rfam family "Eukaryotic large subunit ribosomal RNA", at positions 23 to 644 of the family's 3401-position model. Lineage: Eukaryota; Fungi; Neocallimastigomycota; Neocallimastigomycetes; Neocallimastigales. The record is from RNAcentral.
AGAGAGAGACAUGCGCGCAUAUCAAUAAGCGGAGGAAAAGAAACUAACUAGGAUUCCCUCAGUAACGGCGAGUGAAGCGGGAAGAGCUCAAAUUUGAAAUCUUCAAGGUUUUACCUUGACGAAUUGUAGUUUAAAGAAGUGUUUUCUGUUGGUGUUUUGGUAAAAGUUCUUUGGAAUAGGACAUCAUAGAGGGUGAGAAUCCCGUAUUUGACCAUUACUUCCAGCGUUGUGAUACACUUUCAAAGAGUCGGAUUGUUUGGGAAUGCAGUCCAAAAUGGGUGGUAAAUUUCAUCUAAAGCUAAAUAUUGGCGAGAGACCGAUAGCGAACAAGUACCGUGAGGGAAAGAUGAAAAGAACUUUGAAAAGAGAGUUAAACAGUACGUGAAAUUGUCAAAAGGGAGGCGUUUGACACCAGUGUUGUUUUUCCGAAAGUCAAUUACGAAUGUUUUAUUUUUGAGGAGUUAUGACUUCAUCGGCUUGCUCCUUUCUUUAUGAAACUUUCUUAAUGCACUUUUCGGUUAACAAGUCAACAUCAAUUUCUUUUGUUGUAAAAGGGUAUGAGGAAGGUGGCUUUCCUUUUCGGAGAAAGUGUUUAUAGCCUUGUGCCUCUGCAAUCGGAGAGAUUGAGGUCUGCAGCGUAGAUCCUUCGGGGUUAGAUACGUUUGUGCUAAGUUAUAGCUUUUCAUAGACAACUUGUUGACUAUGUUUAGUCUUGUAGCUUACUCGCUGACGCUAUUUUACCUACGCUUAGGAUGUUGAUAGUCACAGCGUGUAC